AUUUGGUCCUUAGGGCAGUUAAUUUAUCUCAUUGACAAAUGUAUAAUUAUUGUAGAUUGUGGAAAAAACUAGUUACAAAAAUGAUCUUAGACAAUUCUUGAGUGGCAUAAGUUAUUCUGUUUUUAAAUAACAGCUGUAUAUUGAGAUGUGGUGGAAAUGACAUUUGUUCAUUGCAGGUCAGAAAAAAAUUAAAAUAUUAACAAUUUCUCUUGUAAUCUCAGUUUGUCCUCUUACAGACCAUAAAACUAGACAUUAUUUAAACUUAUGAGACUGUGUUAAGUGACUUUUGAACAAGUUUUUUUUUUUUUUUUUUUAAUUCAACUUCAUAAGGCUAAAAGUGCCCCUACUUGAAGAAACGCCCUUAACUGGUUUCAUUGAUUCAACUUGACUGAUAAAUACAAGAAUAUGGCAAUAUAUGGUUUAUCUGAGUUCUUAUUAUAAUUUUCAUCAUAAUAAAGAAUAUCUAUAAUGAAAUGCUAAUCGACAUUAUUACUGCUUAGAAUACAAUGGAAUAUUGUGUGCCUAAAUUAAGUUAGGCACACAAUUACUCGACUGACGUUAUGAAGUGAGUUUGGAGUAAAAAAUGUUAUUAAAGGUGGUAUUUUCACGUGCUCUCAGAUGGAGUAGCAUUUCCUACACAGAGCUGUAGUACAGCUGUCAUUAUCGUGAGCUAUUUCGUCAAUUUCAUAAUCCUACGAUUAUAUCGUCUGCGAUUAUGAACGCGAUUUCGCAUAGCUUAUCAGAGAACUAUGGCUCUGUGUAGUAAAUGCUGUUCUACCUGAAAGCAGGUGAUGGAGAUUUACUGCUAAUCAGAGAACGGCUCUACUGACAAAAUGUGCAUGACAAUAACAAUUAAAUGCGUUCGAUUUAUCGUGCAGCCCUACAACCCAUAAAAAAAAACCCUCUACACCGACCUUCUCAAAUGCAGACACCAGACAGAAUUGUAAGAGGCAUCCUACACAGUUUCCUUGAUGAUCAUCUCAUCGUCCGCAGAGGACAGUGUUUCAACAUGUGGGUUGAUCUGUGCCGUCCUUUCAAUCCCAGUUGUGACAAGCUUCACCUGGAGCUCAAACUACUGUCAUAUCCCAUCCAUCCGGGACGGCACUUAUGUGAUUGUUCCAUUAGUGGAAGAAUUUAAGAAAGACUGCUGGGGGGGAAAAGAUCAUCGAACAAGGUGAAAACCAAAUCCAACUGUGUGUGCAAUACAAGCUUCCUUCAUCAGAACAACAGAAACAGAUAAUGCUUGCCUUAGACCAUGAUAGAUAAUGACAGCUAAGACAGAUAUGUGAAACAUCUAAACACUUAUUGAACAAUAAGGUGCUUUAGAUAAAAAUAAAAAAUAAUAAAAAAUAAAUAAAACA
Molecule: long non-coding RNA, 1361 nt
Organism: Cyprinus carpio (common carp)
Lineage: Eukaryota; Metazoa; Chordata; Actinopteri; Cypriniformes; Cyprinidae
Source: Ensembl